UACAGGGGGGGCAAGCGUUGUUCGGAAUUACUGGGCGUAAAGGGCUCGUAGGCGGCCAACUAAGUCACACGUGAAAUCCCCAGGCUUAACCUGGGAACUGCGUGUGAUACUGGAUGGCUUGAAUUCGGGAGAGGGAUGCAGAAUUCCAGGUGUAGCGGUGAAAUGCGUAGAUAUCUGGAGGAAUACCGGUGGCGAAGGCGGCAUCCUGGACCGACAUUGACGCUGAGGCGCGAAAGCCAGGGGAGCAAACGGG
This 253-nucleotide ribosomal RNA is filed under the name uncultured bacterium. RNAcentral's name for it is "partial 16S ribosomal RNA". It matches the Rfam family "Bacterial small subunit ribosomal RNA", at positions 524 to 776 of the family's 1533-position model. The record is from RNAcentral.